Non-coding RNA from Pelobates cultripes (western spadefoot toad), 214 nucleotides. NCBI's taxonomy places the organism in Eukaryota, Metazoa, Chordata, Amphibia, Anura, Pelobatidae. The record is from the annotation of a GenBank genome assembly.
UAUUAAUGUCUCCUACGAUGUUUAAAGUGUGGCUGAGGGGUACUGAGUUGAAUGCAGUCUCCUCUGCCCAGCAUGUAAUUUCACCACGCUCAAUGAGAAGUGAGUGGCUCUGUCAAGCUUUACUUGCCUUUUUGAACCAAAUCAGGUCUUCUUUUCUUCAUUUUUAAUCUGCUUCAUGUAAAAUACAUAAGACAAAGUAAGUAGGGACAGCUUU